CAUCCCUUCGUAGAUACUCCGUAAUUUAAUUGUACGAAAACAAUUUGGGUGAUAUUCUGAGCGAGGGGGGUUUGUAAUUUCACAUACCUUUAUAUAACUGGUUUAAGAAAAAGCUCUCUUGCUCCAUCAAGCUCUAUGGAACGACGUUACUAGCUCAAGCUAUUGUGGGUGUUUAACCAACUUGCAUAAACAUCCUAGAGAAGAAGCUCGAAAAGCUCCUAAUAUGGAGCAUGUCUCUUCAUUGGAGCCCUCUACAGAGACUAAAAAAAGUGAAGAUACAAAGACAAACGAUGCCACUGUUGCAUCAGAGUAUCACAGUAGCAGCAUGAAGAAGGCAAGGUUACAUUCGACACUAGGUGCUCUUCUUAAUGAUCCCAUACUCGCUGAUGUGCCGAAGAAACCAUCACUUUCUGAUGUAGACACUCUUAUAAGCUUGGAACUUGGAAGUGCCAUGCGCAUUACCAUCCUUAAGUUGGACAACACCUCCAUUGAUGUGGCUGUAUUGAAUUCUGCAACGGUUAAAGAAUUAAAACAAGCAGUUAGGAAGAAAAUUGAAGAAAUGGAGGAUUCCAAGAUGGGCCAUCGUCACAUUUCUUGGAAGCAUGUUUGGGAAAAUUUUUGCUUCUCAUAUCAUAAUGAGAAGCUGCUUGAUGAUGGUGCUAAACUUCAGGACUAUGGUGUAAGGAACAAUUGUGAGGUACAAUUUAUUCCCUACAUUAUGUCAAGGGCCUCACAACGACAUUCUAGGGGGAGAAAACACCGCUUCUUUCAUGGUCUGAACAGAGUUGGGUGAACUCUGUAUUGUCUCUCUGAUUUGUUAAUUUUAUCCAUAAGUGUGGCUAGAUCACCUCCCUUUCUGGGAGGAAACAUUGCUGCGUGCUGAUAAUGGAAUCACGCUGGCCACAGAAUCCAUGCAAGUUAGCACCAAUUUUGAAGUUUGAAAAAUAGAGAAUGGGUCUUGUGGAAUCCACUCUUGAUGCCUUAAUCAUACUUGCUUUCUCUGUAUUUUCUGAAUUCUAUAGCUGUAUGUAUAGACGCUAGAGAUAAACUCUGAAGGACUAAAAGGAGAAAAACUUCUCUUUAUUCUUUACAAGGUAUGGAUUAAUAUUUGUUCUAUAUCGAUCUUGUGACUACCAUUUGGAAUGGUAA
Ipomoea triloba (trilobed morning glory) is the source of this 1149-nucleotide RNA transcript. It is a transcript of the gene named U11/U12 small nuclear ribonucleoprotein 25 kDa protein, with no coding region annotated. The transcript is spliced from 8 exons. The record is from RefSeq and is a predicted model, not a curated record. Lineage: Eukaryota; Viridiplantae; Streptophyta; Magnoliopsida; Solanales; Convolvulaceae.